AUCGCUUCUUGGCCUUUUGGCUAAGAUCAAGUGUAAAUCACACACAUAUAUCCAAUGUUAAAUAACUACAUCUUGUUGCAAAUGGUUUUGGAAAAGGUGUAACUUAAGUUUUUGAAGGGACAAAUAAUUUAUUUUGUUC
Heterocephalus glaber (naked mole-rat) is the source of this 139-nucleotide small nuclear RNA. Its record names the gene U2. It matches the Rfam family "U2 spliceosomal RNA". From Rfam's summary of the family: U2 is a small nuclear RNA (snRNA) component of the spliceosome (involved in pre-mRNA splicing). Complementary binding between U2 snRNA (in an area lying towards the 5' end but 3' to hairpin I) and the branchpoint sequence (BPS) of the intron results the bulging out of an unpaired adenosine, on the BPS, which initiates a nucleophilic attack at the intronic 5' splice site, thus starting the first of two transesterification reactions that mediate splicing. NCBI's taxonomy places the organism in Eukaryota, Metazoa, Chordata, Mammalia, Rodentia, Bathyergidae. The record is from Ensembl.